UGGUCUGUGAAAGAGGAGGGGGUGAGGUCUCACGCUCGUCAGCACACUUCCUGAGGUGGCGCACUUCAGAGCCGAGGAACAUCUGCAGCUCAUCAUCUCCUCUCACCUGACAUUCAUGAGCUCCUGAUUAUGAGCCAGCUACUUAAACCCCGGCUCUGAGCUCAGUCUUUGCCAGUCUUCUGUGAUGCAGCCAGAGCAAUCUGUGAUUCCAAGUCCAUGACACCGUGAACCUUACAUAUGCUCUCCGUGACCUUGACUGUGCCACAUUCCUGCUGCUUCCAUGCACUCGACAUCUGAGCUUUCCACAGCUCAUUCCAAGUUCCUUGGCUCUGUGUGUCCCUCCUGGCUCCAGUCCCAGCUCAAUAUGCUCCAGGACUCCAGCUGUUCUCAGACUCCCAAGUCUGUCCCUGUGUGCACUGCAGUUCCCGAACUUCCACCACGACAUGUGGGCCCUGUCUCAGCU
Thalassophryne amazonica is the source of this 463-nucleotide long non-coding RNA. RefSeq lists it as uncharacterized. NCBI's taxonomy places the organism in Eukaryota, Metazoa, Chordata, Actinopteri, Batrachoidiformes, Batrachoididae. The transcript has 3 exons. The record is from RefSeq and is a predicted model, not a curated record.